CUCUCUCUCGGCAUGGACACAAAAGAAAAGCCAUGUGAGGACACAGAGAGAAGGUGGCUGUCUACGAGCUAGGAAGAAAGGCCUCACCGGAAACCAACCCUCACAGCAGCUCCAUCUUGGACUUCCAGCCUCCGGAACUGUGAGAAAAUAAAUGUUUGCAAUUCAGGUCGGUUGUAUUUUGUGAAGGCCAUCCUAGCAAAUGAAUACUCCUAACAUUGUCUCUUUAAGAGCUCACCAGCCUGAGGUAGGAAUCAUUCCAUCUGUGUUACUAAUGAGACCGCUGAGGAUCAAAGGGGUGAGUAAAUUGCUUAGCAGUGCCUAGGUUUUAUGUAGUGAAUUUGGCUAAAAUGGUAGAGCUCCCUGAUUCUAACCUCCCUGCAGGUUUUCCACCACAUCCACUCACCUCUACAUGGCGAAAACCAAGGGUUCACUCUCUGUCUUCAGGGAGCUCCACCCAGCAGCAGCGUUUGACAGAGCUGUUCACUUCCUCUUCCUGGAGCUGUGGCUUCCAGAGCCCAUGCUCAGCAGUUCCCCUCCUUCUUCGACUGCUCCUCUCUUAGGCUCAGAGCCACUCAGACAUUGGGAAGCAAGUUUGUCAAGAUGACAGAGAACCGAGGUAAUGGAUUCGAGUGAUGAAACAGGAAGUUCAUUCAUGAGUUUUUGGCCACACCUCCAAAGUGACGACUUAGCCAGAAAUGGGAUAACUGGGUUUCCCUACUUCUCUUUUAUCAUCCUCAAUGAGAGUGACCAAAUAUUAGAGCUAGAUGGAACCUUAGUGAAAAUCUGGCUACUCGUCCCGUCCCACCAGCCUGCCACCCAUUUCAAGUUUGAAGAGACAAAGACACAUGGACCUUAUGUAAUUACUGGGGAUUACCCCAGGAGUCUGUGGCAAAAGUCAGCUUCUUCCCUCCCUGCUUCCCCGCCCUGUCUCUGGUACUUUCUACCAACACUGGGCUGUUUCUGUGAUCACACUUAAGCGUACCUAACCUGCGAAUGCUGUAUAGAAGGUGCUAAUGAACAUGAUUUAGCUUUAACACUCAGUUUUCUAAAGGGACACGUGGGGGCAGCAAAUGUUUAGGCAAAAACAAUUCCAGUUCUAGCCUCUACUGUCUACAUAUGUGUAUACAUUUGGGAAACGUUUGGGAAAGGGAUAUUUGAGAGCUUC
RNAcentral lists this long non-coding RNA (1165 nucleotides) under Homo sapiens (human). Its description in RNAcentral is "non-protein coding LINC00518:9". The record is from RNAcentral. Lineage: Eukaryota; Metazoa; Chordata; Mammalia; Primates; Hominidae.